AGUAAAUAGAUACCCAGGUAGUCCACGCCGUAAACGAUGAAUACUAGGUGUAGGGGUUGUCAUGACCUCUGUGCCGCCGCUAAACGCAUUAAGUAUUCCGCCUGGGGAGUACGGUCGCAAGAUUAAAACUCAAAGGAAUUGGACGGGGCCCGCACAAGCAGCGGAGCAUGUGGUUUAAUUCGAAGCAACGACGAAGAACCUUACCUAGACUUGACAUCUCCUGAAUUACUCUGUAAUGGAGGAAGCCACUUCGGUGGCAGGAAGACAGGUGGUGCAUGGUUGUCGUCAGCUCGUGUCGUGAGAUGUUGGGCUAAGUCCCGCAACGAGCGCAACCCUUAUUGUUAGUUGCUACCAUUUAGUUGAGCACUCUAGCGAGACUGCCCGGGUUAACCGGGAGGAAGGUGGGGAUGACGUCAAAUCAUCAUGCCCCUUAUGUCUAGGGCUACACACGUGCUACAAUGGUCGGUACAAUGAGAUGCAACCUCGCGAGAGUGAGC
This 497-nucleotide ribosomal RNA is filed under the name uncultured bacterium. RNAcentral's name for it is "bacterial SSU rRNA". It matches the Rfam family "Bacterial small subunit ribosomal RNA", at positions 774 to 1268 of the family's 1533-position model. The record is from RNAcentral.